AACGUUAGCGGCGGGCCUAACACAUGCAAGUCGAACGAGUAACGCUCCUUCGGGAGUUAUUAAAGUGGCGCACGGGUGAGGAACGCGUAGGUAAUCUACCCUUUGGCGGGGGACAACAUUCCGAAAGGAAUGCUAAUACCGCGUAAGACCACGCUCACUACGGUGAAAGUGGUUAAAGGUGCCUCAAAGCACCACCAAAGGAUGAGCCUGCGUCCCAUCAGCUUGUUGGUGAGGUAAUGGCUUACCAAGGCGAAGACGGGUAGCUGGUCUGAGAGGAUGAUCAGCCACACUGGCACUGGAACACGGGCCAGACUCCUACGGGAGGCAGCAGUGAGGAAU
RNAcentral lists this ribosomal RNA (339 nucleotides) under unidentified eubacterium EH-24. RNAcentral describes it as "bacterial SSU rRNA". It matches the Rfam family "Bacterial small subunit ribosomal RNA", at positions 32 to 362 of the family's 1533-position model. The record is from RNAcentral. Lineage: Bacteria; Deltaproteobacteria.